GAUGAACGCUGGCGGCGUGCCUAAUACAUGCAAGUCGAGCGAACGGACGAGAAGCUUGCUUCUCUGAUGUUAGCGGCGGACGGGUGAGUAACACGUGGAUAACCUACCUAUAAGACUGUGAUAACUUCGGGAAACCGGAGCUAAUACCGGAUAAUAUUUUGAACCGCAUGGUUCAAAAGUGAAAGACGGUCUUGCUGUCACUUAUAGAUGGAUCCGCUCUGCAUUAGCUAGUUGGUAAGGUAACGGCUUACCAAGGCAACGAUGCAUAGCCGACCUGAGAGGGUGAUCGGCCACACUGGAACUGAGACACGGUCCAGACUCCUACGGGAGGCAGCAGUAGGGAAUCUUCCGCAAUGGGCGAAAGCCUGACGGAGCAACGCCGCGUGAGUGAUGAAGGUCUUCGGAUCGUAAAACUCUGUUAUUAGGGAAGAACAUAUGUGUAAGUAACUGUGCACAUCUUGACGGUACCUAAUCAGAAAGCCACGGCUAACUACGUG
This 497-nucleotide ribosomal RNA is filed under the name uncultured bacterium. RNAcentral's name for it is "partial 16S ribosomal RNA". It matches the Rfam family "Bacterial small subunit ribosomal RNA", at positions 28 to 507 of the family's 1533-position model. The record is from RNAcentral.